RNAcentral lists this ribosomal RNA (2517 nucleotides) under Staphylococcus aureus. RNAcentral's name for it is "partial 23S ribosomal RNA". It matches the Rfam family "Bacterial large subunit ribosomal RNA", at positions 401 to 2925 of the family's 2925-position model. The record is from RNAcentral. Lineage: Bacteria; Bacillati; Bacillota; Bacilli; Caryophanales; Staphylococcaceae.
GUGGAUCCUGAGUACGACGGAGCACGUGAAAUUCCGUCGGAAUCUGGGAGGACCAUCUCCUAAGGCUAAAUACUCUCUAGUGACCGAUAGUGAACCAGUACCGUGAGGGAAAGGUGAAAAGCACCCCGGAAGGGGAGUGAAAUAGAACCUGAAACCGUGUGCUUACAAGUAGUCAGAGCCCGUUAAUGGGUGAUGGCGUGCCUUUUGUAGAAUGAACCGGCGAGUUACGAUUUGAUGCAAGGUUAAGCAGUAAAUGUGGAGCCGUAGCGAAAGCGAGUCUGAAUAGGGCGUUUAGUAUUUGGUCGUAGACCCGAAACCAGGUGAUCUACCCUUGGUCAGGUUGAAGUUCAGGUAACACUGAAUGGAGGACCGAACCGACUUACGUUGAAAAGUGAGCGGAUGAACUGAGGGUAGCGGAGAAAUUCCAAUCGAACCUGGAGAUAGCUGGUUCUCUCCGAAAUAGCUUUAGGGCUAGCCUCAAGUGAUGAUUAUUGGAGGUAGAGCACUGUUUGGACGAGGGGCCCCUCUCGGGUUACCGAAUUCAGACAAACUCCGAAUGCCAAUUAAUUUAACUUGGGAGUCAGAACAUGGGUGAUAAGGUCCGUGUUCGAAAGGGAAACAGCCCAGACCACCAGCUAAGGUCCCAAAAUAUAUGUUAAGUGGAAAAGGAUGUGGCGUUGCCCAGACAACUAGGAUGUUGGCUUAGAAGCAGCCAUCAUUUAAAGAGUGCGUAAUAGCUCACUAGUCGAGUGACACUGCGCCGAAAAUGUACCGGGGCUAAACAUAUUACCGAAGCUGUGGAUUGUCCUUUGGACAAUGGUAGGAGAGCGUUCUAAGGGCGUUGAAGCAUGAUCGUAAGGACAUGUGGAGCGCUUAGAAGUGAGAAUGCCGGUGUGAGUAGCGAAAGACGGGUGAGAAUCCCGUCCACCGAUUGACUAAGGUUUCCAGAGGAAGGCUCGUCCGCUCUGGGUUAGUCGGGUCCUAAGCUGAGGCCGACAGGCGUAGGCGAUGGAUAACAGGUUGAUAUUCCUGUACCACCUAUAAUCGUUUUAAUCGAUGGGGGGACGCAGUAGGAUAGGCGAAGCGUGCGAUUGGAUUGCACGUCUAAGCAGUAAGGCUGAGUAUUAGGCAAAUCCGGUACUCGUUAAGGCUGAGCUGUGAUGGGGAGAAGACAUUGUGUCUUCGAGUCGUUGAUUUCACACUGCCGAGAAAAGCCUCUAGAUAGAAAAUAGGUGCCCGUACCGCAAACCGACACAGGUAGUCAAGAUGAGAAUUCUAAGGUGAGCGAGCGAACUCUCGUUAAGGAACUCGGCAAAAUGACCCCGUAACUUCGGGAGAAGGGGUGCUCUUUAGGGUUAACGCCCAGAAGAGCCGCAGUGAAUAGGCCCAAGCGACUGUUUAUCAAAAACACAGGUCUCUGCUAAACCGUAAGGUGAUGUAUAGGGGCUGACGCCUGCCCGGUGCUGGAAGGUUAAGAGGAGUGGUUAGCUUCUGCGAAGCUACGAAUCGAAGCCCCAGUAAACGGCGGCCGUAACUAUAACGGUCCUAAGGUAGCGAAAUUCCUUGUCGGGUAAGUUCCGACCCGCACGAAAGGCGUAACGAUUUGGGCACUGUCUCAACGAGAGACUCGGUGAAAUCAUAGUACCUGUGAAGAUGCAGGUUACCCGCGACAGGACGGAAAGACCCCGUGGAGCUUUACUGUAGCCUGAUAUUGAAAUUCGGCACAGCUUGUACAGGAUAGGUAGGAGCCUUUGAAACGUGAGCGCUAGCUUACGUGGAGGCGCUGGUGGGAUACUACCCUAGCUGUGUUGGCUUUCUAACCCGCACCACUUAUCGUGGUGGGAGACAGUGUCAGGCGGGCAGUUUGACUGGGGCGGUCGCCUCCUAAAAGGUAACGGAGGCGCUCAAAGGUUCCCUCAGAAUGGUUGGAAAUCAUUCAUAGAGUGUAAAGGCAUAAGGGAGCUUGACUGCGAGACCUACAAGUCGAGCAGGGUCGAAAGACGGACUUAGUGAUCCGGUGGUUCCGCAUGGAAGGGCCAUCGCUCAACGGAUAAAAGCUACCCCGGGGAUAACAGGCUUAUCUCCCCCAAGAGUUCACAUCGACGGGGAGGUUUGGCACCUCGAUGUCGGCUCAUCGCAUCCUGGGGCUGUAGUCGGUCCCAAGGGUUGGGCUGUUCGCCCAUUAAAGCGGUACGCGAGCUGGGUUCAGAACGUCGUGAGACAGUUCGGUCCCUAUCCGUCGUGGGCGUAGGAAAUUUGAGAGGAGCUGUCCUUAGUACGAGAGGACCGGGAUGGACAUACCUCUGGUGUACCAGUUGUCGUGCCAACGGCAUAGCUGGGUAGCUAUGUGUGGACGGGAUAAGUGCUGAAAGCAUCUAAGCAUGAAGCCCCCCUCAAGAUGAGAUUUCCCAACUUCGGUUAUAAGAUCCCUCAAAGAUGAUGAGGUUAAUAGGUUCGAGGUGGAAGCAUGGUGACAUGUGGAGCUGACGAAUACUAAUCGAUCGAAGACUUAAUCAA